CAUGUUGGGGGGCACCCAUCUGCUUACAAUCUGUCUUUGGAGUGACCUUUUUUGAAACUUGACCUCAAAUCAGGUAGGACUACCCGCUGAACUUAAGCAUAUCAAUAAGCGGAGGAAAAGAAACUAACAAGGAUUCCCUUAGUAACUGCGAGUGAAGCGGGAAGAGCUCAAAUUUGAAAUCUGACGGUCUUUGACUGUCCGAGUUGUAAUCUGGAGAAGCGUUUUCUGUGCUGGACCGUGUACAAGUCUUCUGGAAUGGAGCGUCGUAGAGGGUGAGAAUCCCGUCUUUGACACGGACUGCCAGUGCAUUGCGAUACGCUCUCGAAGAGUCGAGUUGUUUGGGAAUGCAGCUCAAAAUGGGUGGUAAAUUCCAUCUAAAGCUAAAUAUUGGCGAGAGACCGAUAGCGAACAAGUACCGUGAGGGAAAGAUGAAAAGCACUUUGAAAAGAGAGUUAAACAGUACGUGAAAUUGUUGAAAGGGAAACGUUUGAAGUCAGUCAUGUCUGCUGGGACUCAGCCUUGCUCUUUGCUUGGUGUACUUCCCUGUGGAUGGGUCAGCAUCAGUUUUAACUGUUGGAGAAGGUUUGAGGGAAUGUGGCUCUCUUUGGGGAGUGUUAUAGCCCUUGUUCACAUACGACAGUUGGGACUGAGGAGGCUCAGCACACCUCUUUAUGGUCGGGGGGUUUGCCUCACGUUUGUGCUUAGGAUGCUGGCAUAAUGGCUUUAAGCGACCCGUCUUGGAAACACGGACCAA
Molecule: ribosomal RNA, 754 nt
Filed under: uncultured Atheliales
Lineage: Eukaryota; Fungi; Basidiomycota; Agaricomycetes; Atheliales
Description: eukaryotic LSU rRNA
Rfam family: Eukaryotic large subunit ribosomal RNA
Source: RNAcentral